This 468-nucleotide ribosomal RNA is filed under the name uncultured bacterium. RNAcentral describes it as "partial 16S ribosomal RNA". It matches the Rfam family "Bacterial small subunit ribosomal RNA", at positions 28 to 507 of the family's 1533-position model. The record is from RNAcentral.
GACGAACGCUGGCGGCGUGCUUAACACAUGCAAGUCGAACGGAAAGGCCCUGCUUUUGUGGGGUGCUCGAGUGGCGAACGGGUGAGUAACACGUGAGUAACCUGCCCUUGACUUUGGGAUAACUUCAGGAAACUGGGGCUAAUACCGGAUAGGAGCUCCUGCUGCAUGGUGGGGGUUGGAAAGUUUCGGCGGUUGGGGAUGGACUCGCGGCUUAUCAGCUUGUUGGUGGGGUAGUGGCUUACCAAGGCUUUGACGGGUCGCCGGCCUGAGAGGGUGACCGGCCACAUUGGGACUGAGAUACGGCCCAGACUCCUACGGGAGGCAGCAGUGGGGAAUAUUGCACAGUGGGCGGAAGCCUGAUGCAGCAACGCCGCGUGCGGGAUGACGGCCUUCGGGUUGUAAACCGCUUUCGCCUGUGACGAAGCGUGAGUGACGGUAAUGGGUAAAGAAGCACCGGCUAACUACGUG